UACAGAGCGUGCAAGCGUUGUUCGGAAUUAUUGGGCGUAAAGCGCGUGUAGGCGGCUUGAUAAGUCUGGCGUGAAAGCCUGGGGCUUAACCUCAGAAGUGCGCUGGAAACUGUCAAGCUGGAGUAUCGGAGGGGGAAGUGGAAUGCCGAGUGUAGAGGUGAAAUUCGUAGAUAUUCGGCAGAACAUCAGUGGCGAAGGCGACUUCCUGGACGAAUACUGACGCUGAGACGCGAAAGCGUGGGUAGCAAACAGG
Molecule: ribosomal RNA, 253 nt
Filed under: uncultured bacterium
Lineage: Bacteria
Description: partial 16S ribosomal RNA
Rfam family: Bacterial small subunit ribosomal RNA
Source: RNAcentral